RNAcentral lists this ribosomal RNA (479 nucleotides) under uncultured bacterium. Its description in RNAcentral is "partial 16S ribosomal RNA". It matches the Rfam family "Bacterial small subunit ribosomal RNA", at positions 28 to 507 of the family's 1533-position model. The record is from RNAcentral.
GACGAACGCUGGCGGCGCGCUUAACACAUGCAAGUCGAGCGAUGAAAUUUCGACAGAUCCCUUCGGGGUGAAGAUGAAAUGGAUUAGCGGCGGACGGGUGAGUAACACUUGAGUAACCUGCCUUUGACAUUGGGAUAGCCCCGGGAAACUGGGAUUAAUACCAAAUGACACUAACUGAUCACAUGAUCAAUUAGUCAAAGAAAUUCGGUCAAAGAUGGACUCGCGGCUGAUUAGCUAGUUGGUGAGGUAACGGCCCACCAAGGCGACGAUCAGUAGCCGGCCUGAGAGGGUGAUCGGCCACAUUGGAACUGAGACACGGUCCAAACUCCUACGGGAGGCAGCAGUGGGGAAUAUUGCACAAUGGGGGAAACCCUGAUGCAGCGACGCCGCGUGAGCGAAGAAGGCCUUCGGGUCGUAAAGCUCUUUUAUGAGGGAAGAUAAUGACGGUACCUCAAGAAAAAGCCCCGGCUAACUACGUG